UGGUGUGUGACCACAUCUAGGCCUGGUUUAAAAGAGGCUUUGUCAGCACCAGGCUUGUCACAGCCCUCAAAACCCUCUCUGGAGAUCCACAGCCAUAAAUCUGCUGCAGCCUGCUCAGGCUUUUAAGUUCAAAUAACAGCUUUUAAUGAGAAAACAUGAGAAAACAUGAGUCAAAACACUAACAGCUGCUUUUGACAAACACAACUCCUUAUCCCUUUUUACAUUUUGAUGUGGAACAUUAGAAGUGCUCGAGUGUUUCAGUCAGUUCAAUCUCUUGGCAAUGAGGGCGGAGGAAAACAAAUUGAUUUUCAAGAGCUGUGUAAGAUUAUACGACUGACUAUUGCAAGAAGAGAAAAUACAGUCCCUUAGUCCCUCACAAAUUAGGAGAUAAUUAACAAUGCUGCAGCUAUUUAGACUGGAAUGAGAUGUAGUCAGGUAGAAAAGUCAGAAAAAAGUCAAAUUUGAAAGAGACUUUUGUUUUGUUUAUAAUUUGAAAGAAAAUGAUAACUUCAGCCUUCCCGCUCCCCCCACCAAGAAAACGUGUAAAGCUUUCAAUUUAUUUUAGAUGGCACAAGGAAGGAAUCUCAUUUUAGCAAAGAUAACAGAAACAUCAAGGGUUGGAGUGGCCAGAGCUUUAGAGAGGAUUGAAUAUCUCUGUCUGGAAACGAUUCCUUUCAGAAAAGUUCCUUUGGUGCAGUGGUGAUUAGUGUCAUCCUGGGAAAAUGAUGCCUGGCUGGCAUUCCUGCCCAGAGGUUGGAGGUUGGCAUGGGGAUUUCUUUCUCUGCCGCUUCUCUAAGGGAUGUGUGCAGCUCCUCGAGGGUGGAUUAUCUGCAGGGCUGUGCCAUGGACCUUGGAAAGGCGAGAAAUUUGUGGCCAAAUGUAGAUUAUUGGAUCUGCCAUUUGUUUUAAUCGUUACCCAUUUGUGUUACGCGCGCACUGGGCUCCCAAGGGAGGCAGGACACUUUUGAAAUGUCCUUUCUGUCACGCAUUCCACUGCUUUAGUGUGUUCUGCACUGCCAGAGAAGCUCCUGGGAGCCCAAGGUGGCAGAAGGACUGAGAGCAGAGUCACCAAAGCUGGAAUCUGGGAGCUGUUAGAGGUGAUAGAGACACAUAGGAAAGGAUCCAGGAUGAAUUUCCAGCUGAUGGCAAGUGUCAGAACCAGAUUAACUUCGAGGAGCUGGAAGUCAGCUCAGCUUGGACUUCACAGUGACUCUAAAUCAUUAAAUCAGAGUGUACCUUAGCAGGAGCCUGAACACAGGUGGAUUUAGCAGGGGCUUUUUCCUGGUUUGCCUCCCCUCCCUGCUGGAAUUACCCAAACAAGGAUUCAUCUGUAGGAUGACAUCUAUCUACCUCUGCUGUCGAUUGCUGAGGGAGCAGAUGACCUCCCUGAGGACAAUUUGAAGCCCCCAAGCAGGAGGUGGCUGCUGUAACAGGACUUUUCCUGCUCCAUCCCAGAGCUGGACUGUGCAGCGGGAGCAAGAUGGGAAGUUUGCCACAGCUGCAGCCACUUCAGAGUCAGAAAAAGUCUCAAACUCAGUUUCCUUUUGCUGACAGCACUUGGAUUAAUGGGCUUCUUUUGGGGUCACCUUUGUGCAUCUUUGGCUCAUUCCAGGCUCCUCUUGGCCUGGAUCUUGUGCUGAGUUGGGCUUUUGCCACUGCUGGGCAUCAACUUUUGUGAUCAGCUGACAGGAGCUUCUCACAUUCUACAUCCCCAAUUUAAUCUUUUUUUCUUGAGCUAAAAAAGCAUUUUAAAGAAAAAUAUCUGGUCUUGGUGUCAUAAUGGCCUGCCACAAAUGAUUUACCACAAGUAGGAAAAUUUUGCUGAGGGGUUAAUUAAACUCUCCGCUUUGAAAUGAAGUCACAAAAUACAAGAGCAAUAGAGAUUUUUUUUUUAUAUACCUAUUUCAUAUUCUCUGCUCAUUCAGUUGUGCCUUUUGUAGCCUUCACACAGAUGAGGUUAAACCUGUGGCUUUUAAAUCCCCCUCAGAUUUAUGUCCCACUCAGAGCUCUGCAGGGAUCCCAGUCCAUGACUUGAAUUCCUUGCCCUUGCUCCAUCCCGUCACAUUUUCAGGAUACUCUGGAAGAAUCUCCUGCUUGUUCACAGCCAGCUGACCAAGGGGUGAAAGUCACCUCAAU
Hirundo rustica (Barn swallow) is the source of this 2136-nucleotide long non-coding RNA. RefSeq lists it as uncharacterized. The record is from RefSeq and is a predicted model, not a curated record. Lineage: Eukaryota; Metazoa; Chordata; Aves; Passeriformes; Hirundinidae. The transcript has 3 exons.